Vidua macroura (Pin-tailed whydah) is the source of this 1905-nucleotide long non-coding RNA. RefSeq lists it as uncharacterized. The record is from RefSeq and is a predicted model, not a curated record. The transcript has 3 exons. Lineage: Eukaryota; Metazoa; Chordata; Aves; Passeriformes; Viduidae.
GCCAGGAGACAGGUCACUUGUGAGUUUGGGAAGGCUGGGUCCAAUCCUCCCCAGUGGCACUAGGAGCAUGGUGCCUCCAGGAGUCUGUGGCACAUUGCCAGGCAGCUCUGCUGGUUACACCACACAAGGCUUCACCAAGCUGGUUUCUGAUGCCUUCUCUUUUUCUGCUCCCUGCUUCAAGUGCUCACGAAGUGUGGACGUUGGGAGAUUAGAUGAUCUUGUGAUGAGCAGCAGAAAUAGGUCUGUGUCAAACUGAAAUUCCCAGCGUGUUAUUGUAACCUUCUCUGAUGUUUGUGAUUUUACUUCCAGAUUGGAAUGUAAAACUCCAGUAAAGGCAUAAAGCAACAUAAACCUGGUAACUGCAUUUUAUUGUCAGAAUGAAAGUGGUGGAACACAGGCCAAGCCAACUACGAGAAAGGCCAGACAGACCGAGAUAACAAAAAGAAUAAUUUCUUAGAAAAGAUCUCUCUGGAGGAAAGGAACAUGUUUCCUCAUCCUGAAUCCUAAUUCAAGGAAGAGGGAGGGGGUUUCUGAAGGCAAACUGACAUGAGCAGUUCACCCCAGACAGAAGAAUCUCCACAUGGGUCUAGAAGGGCACCAGACAAAGUCAUGCUUCAGAAGAGCAGCAAUAUCCGAAUUCAGCAGGCGUUCAGGAUUUGUUUCUUCAGACUGCAUAACUCUACAGGUACUCUGUUUUAAGCCUGGAUUCCCUCCUUUCUGACAGAGAGCUGAACAGGUGCUCAGUUCUCCCUCAAUCAUGGGGGAAAAUAUCCUAAGCAUCAGGCCUGGGAAAGGUGUGCCACUGCCACUGCCACCCAGGGUGGCUGAAAGUGAAGCUCCCACAGGAGACUACAACUUCCUGACAGGUGAAAAGUACACAGUUUGAGAGUUGUUGAUGUGUGCUCCAGGUGGGAUGGCUCCAGAUGGGAUGGCUCAGCCAUGCUCACCCAAAGAGCUGCUUCUUGGAGACAUCCAUGGUUUUCCACCUUAUUUCCACUCAAAAAAUCAGGUGAAGAAAUGGAUCUGGUUCUAACUUCAAAUUGUAGGGGCUGAAAGUAAUUCUUCUGCUAACAACAGUUGUAACCAGUAGUGACUGUGGUGAUAAAUCAAGGCUGUGUAUUUGUUUUAAUGUACCAGUUGAACUCGGAUGAAAACUUUGCUUUUCUCCCCUUCCACCCACCCUUCACCAGGCUGACCCCCUCCAUGAUCCAGUUCAAAUGCAUGCAGACACUGUGAAUGGAGCUGUCAGCUGUCUCUCUUACCAAGAGAGUAAUUUCUCUGGGGAAAUGACUGGCACUUCAACAGCUUCAGGAUAGAGUUCAUUCACAGAUGUAGAUAGAUUAUAAAGGCAGGUUACUCCUUCCUACCUCAGCAGGCUGUAUUACACAGAGCAGAAGAAACAUACCAAAAUAAGGAAAUGCUUUCUGGUAGAUGACACAUCUACAGCUGGACAGAAGCACAGUCACCCACAAUUGACCAGAUAGGCCAAUACAUUGUCACUCAGGAGUUUAUUCUACAUUUACAGCCUUGUCUCCAAACAGAAGUGAGCAAAAUUCCAGUUUGUGCCUCUGAUUCACAAACUCACAUCUAACCUAAUGGUUGACUGAGGCCACUUCCUGUCAGCUUCCUCACAAUACAGUUUUACUGCUAUUCCAGAAGAGAAAGGAGAUUAAGAGGCAAUGAAAUAUCCUCUGGAGGCUUCCAGAUUGCUUUCAUUCAUAAUUCUGUCUCAGUACUGUAAUUGAGAUAUAAAUAAUCUCCUUGUUUCCACUUCAGUUACUUUCAAACUCUCCAACAUGAGAACAGAGUCUUGUAUCUCUCAGGUACCUCAGAAAGAAAGUUAUUGCACCAGAAAGCAAAGAUGAUUUUAAAAAUAGUUUCACAUCAGCUCAAAUGAUAAUGCAG